AACGCGAAGAACCUUACCUGGGCUCGAAAUGUAGAGUGCGACAACAGAGAUGUUGUUUCUCGAAAGAGGCUCUAUAUAGGUGCUGCAUGGCUGUCGUCAGCUCGUGCCGUGAGGUGUUUGGUUAAGUCCAGCAACGAGCGCAACCCUUAUCAUUAGUUGCCAACGCGUAAAGGCGGGAACUCUAAUGAGACUGCCUGGGUUAACCAGGAGGAAGGUGAGGAUGACGUCAAGUCCGCAUGGCCUUUAUGUCCAGGGCUACACACGUGCUACAAUGGUCGGUACAGAAGGCAGCAAAACCGCAAGGCGAAGCAAAUCCUCUAAAACCGAUCUCAGUUCAGAUUGUAGUCUGCAACUCGGCUACAUGAAGUUGGAAUUGCUAGUAAUGGCGUGUCAGCAACAACGCCGUGAAUACGUUCCCGGGCCUUGUACACACCGCACGA
RNAcentral lists this ribosomal RNA (440 nucleotides) under uncultured bacterium. RNAcentral describes it as "bacterial SSU rRNA". It matches the Rfam family "Bacterial small subunit ribosomal RNA", at positions 958 to 1397 of the family's 1533-position model. The record is from RNAcentral.